RNAcentral lists this ribosomal RNA (330 nucleotides) under uncultured bacterium. RNAcentral describes it as "bacterial SSU rRNA". It matches the Rfam family "Bacterial small subunit ribosomal RNA", at positions 568 to 898 of the family's 1533-position model. The record is from RNAcentral.
UUCGUAGGUGGUGCGGCAAGUUGGAAGUGAAAUCUCUGGGCUUAACCCAGAGGCUGCUUUCAAAACUGCCGCGCUCGAGUGCGAGAGAGGUCAGUGGAAUUGCAGGUGUAGCGGUGAAAUGCGUAGAUAUCUGCAGGAACACCCGUGGCGAAGGCGGCUGACUGGAUCGCAACUGACACCGAGGAACGAAAGCUAGGGGAGCAAACAGGAUUAGAUACCCUGGUAGUCCUAGCCCUAAACCAUCAGAACUUGGGGUGGCCCGCGUAGGCGGGUCGUCCCGUAGCUAACGCGUUAAGUUCUGCGCCUGGGGAGUACGGUCGCAAGACUGAA